GAAAUAGUAAAUGUAUUAGGACAUCCGAACAGGGUCUUAGCUAGGAUUUUAGAACUUGAGCGUGUUUCUAAAUGACCAGGGUGUGCACAUGUCAAUUACCUCAAAUAGCCAAAUUUGCGGUUCUAGUUAUGGUCGCCAACAACAGACCAUACCUGUGGUUGUUCUAUGCUUUGCAACCAAAUACAAGGCGAGCAUACGCUCAUAUUACGCACUGACAUUAAAAUAUUAAGUUUUUUCAGCAACUCUUGGGGGUAUUUAAAACCAUUAUAACACCAUACAGUUCCCAUUAUCCACCAAAACAUAUUUAAAACAUCACAUGCAGAUCACUUUCGCCAAUUUCAACAAUAACCGUAGAUUUUACAAACUUUCUUACAACGUACAGUGAAUAGGAAGAAAUUCUGUCUGUUAUUUUAUGAACCUACACAGCC
Molecule: non-coding RNA, 428 nt
Organism: Paramuricea clavata
Lineage: Eukaryota; Metazoa; Cnidaria; Anthozoa; Malacalcyonacea; Plexauridae
Source: the annotation of a GenBank genome assembly